Molecule: ribosomal RNA, 199 nt
Filed under: uncultured bacterium
Lineage: Bacteria
Description: partial 16S ribosomal RNA
Rfam family: Bacterial small subunit ribosomal RNA
Source: RNAcentral
ACGCUCGACACCUACGGGAAGCAGCAGUCGGGAAUAUUGCGCAAUGGAGGAAACUCUGACGCAGUGACGCCGCGUAUAGGAAGAAGGUUUUCGGAUUGUAAACUAUUGUCGUUAGGGAAGAAAAAAGACAGUACCUAAGGAGGAAGCUCCGGCUAACUACGUGCCAGCAGCCGCGGUAAUCUGAGCGGGCUGGCAAGGC